AACGAACGCUGGCGGCAUGCCUAACACAUGCAAGUCGAACGAAGCCUUCGGGCUUAGUGGCGCACGGGUGCGUAACGCGUGGGAAUCUGCCCUUAGGUACGGAAUAACUCAGGGAAACUUGUGCUAAUACCGUAUGAUGUCUUCGGACCAAAGAUUUAUCGCCUAGGGAUGAGCCCGCGUCGGAUUAGCUAGUUGGUGGGGUAAAGGCCUACCAGGGCGACGAUCCGUAGCUGGUCUGAGAGGAGGAUCAGCCACACUGGGACUGAGACACGGCCCAGACUCCUACGGGAGGCAGCAGUGGGGAAUAUUGGACAAUGGGCGAAAGCCUGAUCCAGCAAUGCCGCGUGAGUGAAGAAGGCCUUCGGGUUGUAAAGCUCUUUCACCGAUGAAGAUAAUGACGGUAGUCGGAGAAGAAGCCCCGGCUAACUUCGUGCCAGCCGCCGCGGUAA
RNAcentral lists this ribosomal RNA (449 nucleotides) under uncultured bacterium. RNAcentral's name for it is "partial 16S ribosomal RNA". It matches the Rfam family "Bacterial small subunit ribosomal RNA", at positions 29 to 523 of the family's 1533-position model. The record is from RNAcentral.